GCCCUCGUGGCUCAGUGGAUAGAGCGUCUGGUUGCGGACCAGAAGGUCACAGGUUCGAAUCCUGUCGAGGGUA
RNAcentral lists this transfer RNA (73 nucleotides) under Chloroflexota bacterium. RNAcentral's name for it is "Chloroflexi bacterium (cold seep metagenome) tRNA-Arg". It matches the Rfam family "tRNA". From Rfam's summary of the family: Transfer RNA (tRNA) molecules are approximately 80 nucleotides in length. The record is from RNAcentral. Lineage: Bacteria; Bacillati; Chloroflexota. RNAcentral also lists the same sequence under 1 other name.